GAUGAACGCUGGCGGCGUGCUUAACACAUGCAAGUCGAACGGACUGCGAGGAGCUUGCUCCUCAAAGUUAGUGGCGGACGGGUGAGUAACGCGUGGGUAACCUGCCCUAUGCAGGGGGAUAACGUUUGGAAACGAACGCUAAUACCGCAUAAUCUAGUCGGUUCGCAUGAACUGAUUAGCAAAGAUUUAUCGGCAUAGGAUGGACCCGCGUUAGAUUAGCUAGUUGGUGAGAUAACAGCCCACCAAGGCAACGAUCUAUAGCCGGCCUGAGAGGGUGAACGGCCACACUGGGACUGAGACACGGCCCAGACUCCUACGGGAGGCAGCAGUGGGGAAUAUUGCACAAUGGGCGCAAGCCUGAUGCAGCGACGCCGCGUGAAGGAUGAAGGUCUUCGGAUCGUAAACUUCUAUCAGCAGGGAAGAAUACCAUGACGGUACCUGACUAAGAAGCCCCGGCUAACUACGUGCCAGCAGCCGCAGUAA
Molecule: ribosomal RNA, 483 nt
Filed under: uncultured bacterium
Lineage: Bacteria
Description: partial 16S ribosomal RNA
Rfam family: Bacterial small subunit ribosomal RNA
Source: RNAcentral